CCCACCAAGUAACUCCCUACACUAGCGACUCAAACUGGCCCUAGUCCUCUGCCCUAAUUUGCGUCCUCCAGACCUUCCUAUCUAGGGUCAUGUCCUCGGUGAGCUGUAACUGCUCCAUGUCCCGCCUAAUCACCUCCCCCCAGUACUUCUUCGGCCUACCCCUACCCCGCCUAAAACCAUCCAACGCUAGCCUCUCACACCUACGGAUUGGGGCAUCCCUGCCCCUCCUCUUCACGUGUCCGAACCAUCUCAAUCGGGCUUCCCGC
This 266-nucleotide long non-coding RNA is filed under the name Capsicum annuum. RNAcentral describes it as "long non-coding RNA (CANN_LNC008314)". The record is from RNAcentral. Lineage: Eukaryota; Viridiplantae; Streptophyta; Magnoliopsida; Solanales; Solanaceae.